Gorilla gorilla gorilla (western lowland gorilla) is the source of this 2145-nucleotide long non-coding RNA. RefSeq lists it as uncharacterized. The transcript has 3 exons. NCBI's taxonomy places the organism in Eukaryota, Metazoa, Chordata, Mammalia, Primates, Hominidae. The record is from RefSeq and is a predicted model, not a curated record.
AUUUAGAGUAUUGAGGGAAAAAUAACUACCAAACUAGAAUUGAGAACCCUGAAAAAUUUGCUUUCAAAAGUGAAGGAGAAAUAAAGACUUUUCAGACAAACAAAACUUGAGGAAAUCUGUUGCCAGUAGACUUGCCUAGCAAAAAAAAACGUUGAAAGAAGUUAUUUAAAGAGAAGAAAAAUAAUAUAUGUCAGAAACUUGGAACAACAUAAAAAAAGAAGAGCACUGGAGAAAGAAGACCCAAUUCAGCUAGAAGAGAAGUUCAAUUGUCAUCCUAUCUCAAUCUUAUAGUCUUAAAGAAAAUUUCUUCAAAAAUAUUAUAUCAGCUGCUUUCUGCAAUUGAAACAUAUUUUCUUAAGAGACAACAUAAUCUUGAAAAGUGACCAGUGUUGCUGAGUGACUCAAGUAACUGGUGGCUUUUCCUGUGCAGCUGGCUUCUGGGGACUGUUCAGGUAAAGUUGGAAGAUGAUGCAGAAACAGCAUUAUUGGUCUGUUCACGGUCUCCAGCACUAGCAUCGGUGGCUGCUGUGGCAUUUGUGGGGAUUGAAACAGCUGCUUGAAUCCAAGCAUGAGGAGGCAUAAGGAUGGUAGCCAGAGGUAGAUUAGUUGGCAGUUCUUGAGUGGUGAAGUUGAACAGUGGAGGUGUGUCUCACCCAUUUGGUAGUUUGACAUUUGGAUCCUGUAAUUCAUCAAAAAAUGAAUGUGCACAAACUUCCAGUGGUGCCAGUCGAGAGUUGAUGUAUAGUCCAGCAGACGGCUACACAGUGCAAUUGCUUCCAGUGGAGUUCAGGGUCAGAAGACUAUAGUCCAAGGAUGUGUCUUAAUUUGAGGGAAUUUAAAUUCUGUGUAGUUUGGGUUCACUUCUCUAAUUUGCUCCCUUGUUGGAGUUCCCAGGUCCUUGAUUAUUACAUAUAUGUAUACAGAACACACACACAAUGGAAUACUAUUUGGCAAUAAAAAGAAAUGAAGCAUUGAAACAUAUUACAAGUUGUCUGAUCCUCAAAAACAUUAUACUAAGUAAACGAAGCCAGAUGCAAAAGACAUAUAUUGCAUGAAUCUUAUAUGAAAUAUCCAAAACAGGCACAUCUAUAGAAAAAGAAAGCAGAUCAGUGGUUGUCAUAUUAUGGGUCAAAGGGGAUAAUGGGUAAGAAUAACAUAAUGGAAAAAAAAAGAAUAACAUAAUGGGUAUGAGGUGUUCUUGGGAGGUGAAGAAAUAAUUUUGGAACUAGACAGUGAUGGUGGUUGCACAACAUUGUGAGUGCAGUCCCUGAAAUUGUACACUUUAAAUGGAAUUUAAAGUAUACAAUUGGAAUUUAAAGUAUACAAUUGCCCUAGAAUUGUACACUUUAAAUGGCUAAUUGUAUGUUAUGUGAAUUUCACCUCAAUUAUUUUUAAAAUGUCUGUUGCCUAAGUCUGCCUUUUAGCUUAAAAACUUCGAGCCUGUGCAAUGCAAAUAUUCCUUGUAGUAGUGCUCUUAUAAUUUAUUUAUAGUGUCAUUCUUUAAAUAAAUGUAUACUGUGUUCUCUCACAGACUUGGCACCGGAGACACAGUGGUGACAGACACUACCUUUGCCCUCAUGAAAGUGACAAACUAGAGGUAAUAGACAUCAUAUAAGUAAGUAGAGUUCUACAAAGUAUAUAUUCUAGGGAUAGAGGAACAUAUAAAAAAUUGACAACACAGACUUAUUCUCAUGUGGGAAGAAGACCGUUGAGGUGUAGGUAAAGUUAGGGUAACGUUUCCCAAAUACACUAAAGGAUUUGUAAGAGCUCACCAGACCAAUGGGCUAGGAGCAGCCUAUGGAAAGGUGUGCAGCAAAACAGAUGCAAGUGGGCCCGUAGUUUGCCAAGGAGAACAUGGACCUCUCAACACCAGGCUGGAGAAGAGACAGGAGCCAGUUCAUGCAGCAUGUGUGUGACGCUUUAAUGAUUUCUAUCUAUAUACUAACAUCAACAGGAAGACACUCCAGGAUACAGGCUGCUUUUUAAAUGAUCUCUGUGACUGUGUGUUCUGGACUGGGGAAGAACAAGAGAUGAUGUGAAAAGACACAUGAGGAAACUAUUGCAAAGAAGUUAGGGGAAGGUAAAAUGUUCAUAACCAAAUGAAUGAUAUAUACCUCCAUUGGCAAUAAAGGACCAAAUACUUCA